Molecule: non-coding RNA, 1082 nt
Organism: Sesamum indicum (sesame)
Lineage: Eukaryota; Viridiplantae; Streptophyta; Magnoliopsida; Lamiales; Pedaliaceae
Source: RefSeq, a predicted model, not a curated record
CCAAGAAAUGGACUGGACGGGAAUUUUGUGGAUGGAAGAGGACCACAUAGAUAGUUGUGGCUAAGAUUCAAUUCUUGAAGCCUUGAAAUGGUCUUGGGCACAUUUGCAGACACCAUAUUGUUUGACAAACCCAGGCUUUUAGGGUUUUUCCCUGAGAAAUAAUUAUCAGCAAGGCAAACAACUUUUAGAAAAGUGAAUGCUGAAAAGAUAUCUGGUACACUACCACUGAGCUGGUUCCAGCUUGAAUUCAGCAUAAGAAGCUGCUUCAGCCCCAGGGAGCUGCUUGGAAUAGCACCUGAGAGGCAACUAUUGCUUAAGUCGAGUUUCUCCAGACGUCUCAACUUCCACAAGCCCGGUAUCCUGCUGGAGAACUGGUUUCCACCCAGAGCCAGACUUACCAGGUUCAUCAUAUUACCAACCUUUCUAGGUAUAUGACCAGGUAAUUUACUGUUUCUAGUCAUUAUAGGCUGAUAUUGGUAUAGAAAAUAAAAAAUCUGGGAAAGGACCUGUUAAGUCGCCAAGUUCCCUCAAGAGGAAUGAUUCCAUACACUGGAGUUUUGAGAGUGAGAUUGAGAUGGUGCCUGGCUGUAAAAGCCAUAUACUUGUGACAUGGUUAUUUGACUCAGGCCUGCAUGAUACCAACGCCCAUGUACUGCAGUCUGUAUCAAGUUUCCACGAGUUCUGCAUGCCUGAUGGGUGGGAUUUAUGCCCGACUUGAAAUGCUAACAUCCAUUUCCAUCGUCCACAUGGCAUUGUUUCAUCGUUGCAGCAGGAUACUGAUGGAUGAAUAGUUGGAGGUUAAUUUGAGUGCAAUAUUGGUAUAAGCGAGCAGCAUCAUGUUCUUACUAGUAAAACAGGAUGAGAAUUGACCAACGAAUGGUAGAAAAGAUGAAUAUGGUAAGAAGUUAUAGUUACAUUAGCUUAUUGAUGCUGGAUUCUUAUCGCUUUCUAGGUAAGAAAAAUUCACGUUAUUAGUAUGCAUGGAACCUUUCACAAGUCAUAAAAAUCAUGUUUAAGGAUAGCCAAGGUUCCAGAAAUGGCCUAAGUUAUGUGUUGAAUGAAUUCACUACUUCUUACGUGGA